GGAUUCUAGACAGAUUGUUCCCUUACAGUCAAUUAUGGUAGCUACAAUUUUCACCUACUCAAAUGUUGUCCCUUACUCCUUCUUUGGGUGAUAGAAUCCCUCUUUCUUUUGUUUUCUUUUUUUUCCUGAGGAAGAUUUGUCCUGAGCUAACAUCUGCUGCCAAUCUUCCUCUUUUUGUAUGUGGGCUGCCUCCACAGCAUGGCCAAUGACAGAUAAGUGAACCAUGCCCCUGAACCGAACCUAGGCCGCUGAAGCAGAGUGAGCCGAGUUAACCACUAGGCCACCGAGGCUGGCCCAGAAUCCCUCUUCCAUAUGGGAACCCCAUUAUUUUGCGUGUUUCAGCUACAACUAAAUGGACAUUCAUUAACCAGCAGAAGAUUCCCUGCACAGCACAACAGGACAUCUGAGAGAUCCAUGCAGCCAUGCAUCUGAAGCUCCCUGUCUGGCGACGCCGUGUCUGCAGACCCGAGAGGACGCCAUGGCGCGAGCGGUCCCCGUGAAGCUGGUGCCUCAGGGCUGCGUGAGGCCUUCCCAGAACACGGUGGCCUUUUAUCCUGAGGGCCCAGGGGAGCCCCUGAAGGACUCUAAUCAGUCUCCUGUUUUUUCUUUUCACCCCACGGUGCUGGCUGGACCUCCGGUAUGAUGCUGAAAGAGGUAAGGGCCUGUUUGUCUUGUUCC
RNAcentral lists this long non-coding RNA (678 nucleotides) under Equus asinus (donkey). RNAcentral's name for it is "lncRNA (ENSEASG00005025379.1)". The record is from RNAcentral. Lineage: Eukaryota; Metazoa; Chordata; Mammalia; Perissodactyla; Equidae.